CCUACGGGCGGCUGCAGUGGGGAAUAUUGGACAAUGGGGGCAACCCUGAUCCAGCCAUGCCGCGUGUGUGAAGAAGGCCCUCGGGUUGUAAAGCACUUUCAGUGAGGAAGAACGCCUGGUGGUUAAUACCCAUCAGGAAAGACAUCACUCACAGAAGAAGCACCGGCUAACUCCGUGCCAGCAGCCGCGGUAAUACGGAGGGUGCGAGCGUUAAUCGGAAUUACUGGGCGUAAAGCGCGCGUAGGUGGCUUGAUAAGCCGGUUGUGAAAGCCCCGGGCUCAACCUGGGAACGGCAUCCGGAACUGUCAAGCUAGAGUGCAGGAGAGGAAGGUAGAAUUCCCGGUGUAGCGGUGAAUUGCGUAGAGAUCGGGAGGAAUACCAGUGGCGAAGGCGGCCUUCUGGACUGACACUGACACUGAGGUGCGAAAGCGUGGGUAGCAAACAGGAUUAGAUACCCUAGUAGUC
Molecule: ribosomal RNA, 465 nt
Filed under: Vreelandella stevensii
Lineage: Bacteria; Pseudomonadati; Pseudomonadota; Gammaproteobacteria; Oceanospirillales; Halomonadaceae
Description: partial 16S ribosomal RNA
Rfam family: Bacterial small subunit ribosomal RNA
Source: RNAcentral